Molecule: unclassified non-coding RNA, 432 nt
Filed under: soil metagenome
Description: partial contains 5.8S ribosomal RNA, internal transcribed spacer 2, and large subunit ribosomal RNA
Rfam family: 5.8S ribosomal RNA (bases 1-120)
Source: RNAcentral
GAUGAAGAACGUAGCGAAAUGCGAUACGUAAUGUGAAUUGCAGAAUUCAGUGAAUCAUCGAAUCUUUGAACGCAUAUUGCGCUCUCUGGUAUUCCGGAGAGCAUGCUUGUUUGAGUAUCAGUAAACACCUCAACUUCCAUAUCUUUUUUGAAAUGGGAGUUGGACUUGAGUGAUCCCAACGCUUUUCCUCACCGAAAAGUGGCGGGUUACUUGAAAUGCAGGUGCAGCUGGACUUUUCUCUGGGCUAUAAGCAUAUCUAUUUAGUCUGCCUAAAAAACAGAUUAUUACCUUUGCUGCAGCUAACAUAAAGGAGAUUAGUUCUUGUGCUGACUGAUGCAGGAUUCACAAAGACGGCUUCGGCCGACUUUGUAAACUCGAUCUCAAAUCAAGUAAGACUACCCGCUGAACUUAAGCAUAUCAAUAAGCGGAGGA